Molecule: non-coding RNA, 282 nt
Organism: Cinara cedri
Lineage: Eukaryota; Metazoa; Arthropoda; Insecta; Hemiptera; Aphididae
Source: the annotation of a GenBank genome assembly
UCUACUAAUACGAUGGUAAUAAUAAUAGUUGUCGGUUAAAUAAUUCAAACGAAACGCAAACACGACGACGGGAUCCCGGGUAAAUUGCAUUAUGCAGGCGCUAAAAACGCCGGGUUCUAUUCACCGCAGUCCGCCGCACGAGGUACACUGUUAUUAUCAAUAAACGCGGUCACGACGGUUAACGGCAUUAGUCUUAUCGAAUUUUAAAUCGGACCAUUUUAAAGAGUUCGUUUCUACGCGCCUAACUGCGUCACAAUAAUCUGGAAAUCCGGAUCAACUGCA